GGAUUCUGAAUAAUUUAUUUCAGUUUCUAAGUAAUUUUACUGUUGUUGCUUGAGUUUUUUGUCUGUUUACUUUUAUCUAACACUGAACUGCCUGAAAUGGAAUGUGGACAAACAUACUGAAUACACUAAUUUGUUUGCUAUGGUAAACAGGGUGAAAGAAAUGAGAUGUACAUACUCAUUCAUCGUGUCCUGCCUUGUUAAACUAAAUCCUGGGCAAAACGGCAGUCUCCACAUUAACCUUGAACUAUUUUCCAUGUGCAGUUCUGUGCUGCCUGGUUUGUUGCAUAGUGUGUGGGUUUUGCACCAGAGUGGAAAACUGGGUAAUUCAUACAAUGAUUUUGAUUUUAUUAGUCUUGGUGGAUCUUUGAAAGGAAAGAAUACAAUGAUGGGGCUGGUUGUGAUGUCAUCAGCAAGGGCAAGAACUGGGUGUUUUAAGGAUUAUUUCUGUUUUAUUGGUUUCAUUACUCCUUUUUGAGGGAACAGAGGCUGGGGAAUGGUCUGGUAUGACAGGCUUGAGCUGGUUUUACAGUCGCACAACUGGCAUGAAAGGUGUCCAUGUUUUAUGGUGGGUGGGUAAGUGACUUCAGUAAGUGUCUGCUACUUCUUUCAGGUCAACAAGAAGUAAUUUUUCUUAUGAAUCAUCAUCUGUGUUGUGUCCAGCAAAGGGGAAGUAUCUGUGCCAAAAUAGAGAAACAGAGAAAAUUCCUGCACUUCCACACAGCACGUGGGGAGAAAGACACUUGUGUCUGGAGCCAGGAUGGCAGACAGCACCCGUCCCUCUGGCAGCUACACUUUGCUGAAUGCAUUUCAGAGGUUUGUUUUUGUCUUGUGUACACAUCAUCUUUUCUGUCCACUGUCAGAGCAUCUUAAAUGAAGACAUAAUGUAUGACUGUGACAGAGGAGUUUGGUUUCUCUGUGCCAUUCUCUGCUCUUUUGUGACUAUGCAGAAGGACUCGUGCUCGCUGUGGUCGUUGCCUUUUGCCACUAAUUAGAGGAAGAACUGCUCUGGUUUCAUCCCUAAGCUUGCAAGUCUCUCAAAGUCAUGAUGAUGUCACUAUUUUUUAUGUAGCCUGGAUUAUAAAGAUGUAACACUAAAGGAAUGACAGUGAUUAUUUCACGUUGACUGGGUGGUAUCUUCUGAGACUACUAUUUCUUUAGUACCAAUUGUAACUCUAGAUACCACAACACCACUUGCUUCGGUUGAAGGAGAAAAGAAAAAAGCACAGGUGUGAGGAAGUUGCAUUGUACAACUGUGUUAUCUGCAAUGCAGACAAGUGAUUUAUGAUUGCAUGUUUCAUGGAGCUGGAAUGAUAUUGCCAGAGGUAAGAAUAAAGAGGAAAAUUCAACCUCCCUUCAGGUGACAGACAUCUUAAAAAAUAAAGAGGAUCCUUUUGAAUUUUCUGGCAAGUCUCAUCAGGAGAGUCCUACAGCAAAAAGGGAAACGUGUCUUUCCCUUUGCAGGCACUACAACUGCCCCAGAACAACCACUACUCACUGUGUAAGAUCCCUUUGAUAGGCAACCAGGGAAACUGCUGCUGUAGCCACUAGCUGUGCCCAGGCUGCGUUCCCCUUCUGCUAGUGCACACAACUUGCUCUUCUGACAUUGUGCAAUUCCACAGUAAUACAGACAUUUGUUUCAUGGACAACACUGACCACUUUUGCCUUAUAGAAAGAAAUCAGCUCUGUAAUCAGCAGAAUUGAUGACAUUUGGCGUCCUAUGGCUUUCCUUUCCUUCCAAAGCAUGGAAAGUCCCAGGUCCCAGUGGCAGGUAUUGGGAAAACUUGAAAUCGUUCUGCUUCUCAUUGGCUGGACAGGGAUCAAGGGAAAUGAGACUGCUGGGCUGGCAAGAGAACCUCAAUACCAACCUAAAGUUGGCUGAAUAGUAUAAACUUGAAGCAGUGUGAAGUUUUGAUGGUUUUGUUGAUAGUAUUUAGAGCACAGUGUCAUCUAACAGCAAUCACAACUAGAGCUUUAGCAAGAGAGAUGUCUUACACAAGCACAAAAGGUCUGAGCCUUCAAGCAGUUGCUUCUGGUCUGAUCUAAAUCAUGUCUAAUGAGACAGAAGUGUUGAACCCUUGAAUUAACCGCUCUGUUCCUUCUCUGUUUUCAAGUUUGUGCUUUGGGGUUUUUUUCUUUUUGCCAAUUUGAAUCAAUUACAUUAAUUUUGCAGCUCUCCUGUCCUGCAUUGCCUUUCAAAAGUGUUCCUCUUGUUCCGUGACUUCCCCUUAGCUAUUUAAAAGUGUUUUCCGAGGAAGAUCAACACCAGCCUGGGUGCUUGGCCUUGUUUUGGGAACCUUGGGCAUGCCCUGGUGCAGUGCCUGCAGCCACUAGAUGGCACAGGGCGAGGGACUCUACACCCUGAAUAGCAACCUGACGUUUUCAGUCUGUUAAGUAUGAUUAAAGGAUAAAUAAUACUAAAUGUUUCUUUAAUAGGAGAAAAUGCACAGCAUUGACAGUAGUGAUUAAGUUGUAUUAAACAGUUGUUAUUCUGGACACCAGGUGAUUAGUACAUUCAAACCACUUCAUUUCCAGACUUUGGCACUUGGUCAUUACUAACUCAAAUCGUAAAGUUCAGUGAAUCAAGUUGUAAAUAGUUUUAUUGGUUCCGUGUUGGAAAAAAAAUAGAGUGUUGUGAAAUUCCUUGAUGUUUUCAAGUUACGUAUUUCCUAAGCUCUUUUAUGUCUAUUUUCUGUUCUCUAGUUAUUCAUCAUUGCAGAAACGAUAAACUCUGUUUCUGCCUUUGCAUACACUAAACCCAACAUAGUAAUUGAGAGCAGAGAGUUGUGUUCCUGAACGAAUAUGCCAAAUGGAGAGAGCUGCACCUUUGCACUAAGAUCAUAGAAUCAUAGAAUAGUUAGGCUUGGAAAGGAGCUUAAGAUCAACUAGUUCCAACCCCCUGCCCCUGGACACACUGCUGACUGCAUGCCAUAGUUACCUGAGGGAGGAAUUGGCUCCAAGCAUGAGAGGGGAGCUGCUCUUACAGCUCGGGGAGAACGGCCCAGAUUUACAUACAUGCUGACGGCUGCUGGAUAAAACACUGGACCUUCAUGUCUCUGUUGGUUUGUCUUUUGUUUUCUGAAAUAUUUUUCAGCUGUUUGAGAGUUAUUUUAUGUCUAUUAUAUGAUAAAGUUUCCUUCAAAGCAGUUUUUUGUUUUGUUUAAUGAAAGCCUAGGAAUUAAGUUGUAAGAUCUAGAUAUAUUUCAAGGUGUCAGCGCUCUACAACAAGGCUUCUUUAAAGUUCAUUUUAAUACCUUUUAAGUGACUGGGAGCAAGUUUUUGGUUUCUCCAAACCAAGUUGAGGAUUAACUUUAACCUGUUUUGGCUUGAAAAUGGACUGUUAAGUCUGUUUAUGAUUCCAGUGCCUGCUGAAGUGACCCUUGCAUCACUUAAAUGCCACUUUACAAAUUGCUGGCAAGAUGUUUAUGAUGAAGUGCCUUUCUCACUUGUAAGCUAUUUUCAUUGUUGUCUUAGCCUGCUUAACAUCAAGCUGGUUUUCUGUGGGGCCAUAGGUUGUAGAAAUGCAUAUGUUUUACUGGGCUAAAUCCUUGACAUUCUCUUAGGUGUACAUGUAUGUGCCUGUAGAACGUGUGUGUGUGCGUGUGUGUGUGCGUGUGUCUGGGCAAGGCAAGGCAAGACAGCACCAUAACUCCAGGGAAAAUGGAGGAGGUGACUGCGAGUCACCCACUUACUCACUGGCAUAUACUGUGGGAAACCUGUAUUUUGUGGUUUUGAAGAGCACUUGCUUUUUAGACAAGGCAGGCAAGGAGGCAGACAGCCCCUUCUGAUUAACAAAUUUAUCACUUACAGCUCCUGUGUAAAACCAACUGAGUGUCAACCCCAAAAUGAAGAGCUGCAUUGGAAAUCGCACCUAAGUACAGCAGGUGCUGAGCUGGCAGUUUCACAGAAGGUUGUGAAAUUUGAUCACACAAUGGGAAAUAGAGCCACUCCUUGAGGGCAAUAUCUGGAAACAUAAUGGGGAACCACCCUUCAAAGGUGAUCUGUGUAAUAAUGGGGCUUAGAAACACUUUCUACCUGCUUUGCUUACAAAAUGAUGAACGUUUUUAAUAGUGUUACUGGGUUUUGCACAAGCACACUAUAUUUAGCUGCACCUCAACUACUCCUGUGUUCAGACACACCCAGGGCAAUAAACUGCCCAGUGCAUACUUGCUACUACCAUCACUUCAAGGUGGAAACUAUUAAUGAAAUUAUCUGUUCUGCUGAUACCCUGACAUUAUUGUUGACUUCUCUGUCUCCAGAUGACAGCUUUUCACCCCUGUUCUUCUGGGAGCUAAGCAUCUGUACAUCCCCCUUGUGUAACUUUCACUGCAGCCCUUUUCUGGUAAGUCGCUAACCUUGAUAUACUCAUAUAUGCUAAUGAACAUGGAACACCCAGUGUUAUUGCAUUGGCCCCAUGACACUCUGUGCUACUUGAUGUCUCUCUUCUUUCUUCUUGAGAUUGCCAUAAAGAUUGCACCUGUGCUCCUGCAUGUAGUUAUGCACACCACAGCCUCUGAAUAAUGUAGACUAAUAGAAAAGACUUCAAAGAAUCAUAACACACUUUUAAAGGGCUGGAAGGAGAGGCUGAUGGGAUAUGUUAUAAGAAUGCUCUAUUUCCUGCUUAGCUAAGCAGUAAUUUAGAAGGACAUGUAAACUCUGGGCAAGUGUUUCAAAGAAAACAAAAAGCAAACAAAAGCUAUGCACAGUGCCCUGAUGCUGUAGACAAAGAGCAAAGAAGGGAGAGGCUUCCAGCAAAUCAUCUGCUUGAGUUUGUCAUUUUUGGGUGCUCAGACACAGGAUGAGCAGGGUAAUGAAAAUAUUUAGACAGAUUUAUGUUAUUUGAUAGAGGUAAAUGCAAAAGGAAAGAAGGUGAGUGAGUGGUUUAGCAGUGGCCUGAGCAAGUCAUUAUGUGAUUGAAAUCAAUUACCCAGGAGCUCAUUAGCAAAAGAGAAUAAAUGCCUUUCCUUCUCGUGCUGUGGAUAGUUUAUUGGAUCCCUAUCACAUGUCAAAUCAAACACUACCUUUCAAAGCCGCUGAAGGAUUAAUACCAAACUGUUCUUCCUGAGUAGGUGAUUUUUCAGAGCAAUGAAGCCAUGAAUGCAAAGGGAAUCAGUGAGCAGCAGACACAAGAACUGUCUUGACAGUUGGAACUGGAAAUAAACUACUGCAGGUCAGUGAAUUCUAACAUCUCAUAAAUCACAUGUACACUGCACUCUGUCCUUGUCACCUCAUAAUUACCAUAGAGAAAGAAAGAAGAUUCUGAAGAGCAUGCAUGCUAUUUUAGAGUGAAAUUCACCCAUGUUCACUCUCAUUGAACCUGUAGGGUUCAAGUGGGACUUCAGAAAUGCAAUAGACUUUGGGCAGGCAACAACAAAACAAAGCAUUUAGUGCAGGGUUCAAGGGCACCUAUUGUAUAACUGGUGUGUCUGAGCCCAUUUAUGGCACUAAGUGCUUGAUUUGACAAA
This is a long non-coding RNA of Pezoporus flaviventris, 5462 nucleotides long. RefSeq lists it as uncharacterized. Lineage: Eukaryota; Metazoa; Chordata; Aves; Psittaciformes; Psittacidae. The record is from RefSeq and is a predicted model, not a curated record. The transcript has 2 exons.